AAAUUCGCGGCAGGGAAACACCCCGCUCAAAAAUCCAUGGAAAACAUCCGGUCGCUGCUCUCAUUCCCGCACAAACCCACCACAAACCUCACAAAAGAAGCACACCUCCCCGCCACGUCACCGAUCCGCGCCACCCCUCCCCGCCAUCUCGCCCAUCCAACGGCUGACACCCUUCAUCACGCGGAUCGCCCUCUCUCCCCUCCCACAAACCCCGCAGCUAUAAAUUGCCGCCUCGCCACACGCUCCACCGCACCAAGCCACCUCAUCCCUCCACCAACCACGAGUCAAACCCACCGCAGCAAAGGGACAGCGGCGGAGAUGUCGGGCCGUGGCAAGGGAGGAAAGGGGCUCGGAAAGGGCGGCGCCAAGCGCCACCGGAAGGUGCUGCGCGACAACAUCCAGGGCAUCACCAAGCCGGCCAUCCGUCGCCUGGCGCGCCGCGGCGGCGUGAAGCGCAUCUCGGGGCUCAUCUACGAGGAGACCCGCGGCGUGCUCAAGAUCUUCCUCGAGAACGUCAUCCGCGACGCCGUCACCUACACCGAGCACGCCCGCCGCAAGACCGUCACCGCCAUGGACGUCGUCUACGCGCUCAAGCGCCAGGGCCGCACCCUCUACGGUUUCGGCGGUUAGGCCCGCCAGAUCCGUCGCCCGCGGAAACCAGAUUAGGAGCUAGCCUCUGUUUAGGAUUCAUGUU
This 694-nucleotide long non-coding RNA is filed under the name Hordeum vulgare. RNAcentral's name for it is "long non-coding RNA (HVUL_LNC002390)". The record is from RNAcentral. Lineage: Eukaryota; Viridiplantae; Streptophyta; Magnoliopsida; Poales; Poaceae.